RNAcentral lists this ribosomal RNA (253 nucleotides) under uncultured bacterium. Its description in RNAcentral is "partial 16S ribosomal RNA". It matches the Rfam family "Bacterial small subunit ribosomal RNA", at positions 524 to 776 of the family's 1533-position model. The record is from RNAcentral.
UACGGGGGGGGCAAGCGUUGUUCGGAAUUACUGGGCGUAAAGGGCUCGUAGGUGGCCAACUAAGUCGGACGUGAAAUCCCUCAGCUUAACUGGGGAACUGCGUCCGAUACUGGAUGGCUCGAGUUUGGGAGAGGGAUGCGGAAUUCCAGGUGUAGCGGUGAAAUGCGUAGAUAUCGUAAGGAAGACCAGUGGCGAAGGCGAAUCUCUGGACAGUUACUGACACUGAGGCACGAAGGCCAGGGGAGCAAACAGG